This 447-nucleotide ribosomal RNA is filed under the name Triticum aestivum (bread wheat). RNAcentral's name for it is "partial small subunit ribosomal RNA". Lineage: Eukaryota; Viridiplantae; Streptophyta; Magnoliopsida; Poales; Poaceae. The record is from RNAcentral.
AUGGCUCCAACUCCAUGCUUCCACCUUCUGCUGGUCCUAUCCGUCGGCGGUGCACUCUGCACCAGCGCACUUGUAGACUACGUCCACCAACCCCCGAUCCGGUGCUCUGCUGACAACUACACCGACGGAAGCCAGUACCACAAGAACCUCUACCGCCUGCUGCAGACCAUCACCAUGGCAGCCCCGCGAAAAGGUGGCUUCUACAGUGGCACCUUUGGCGUGGGUGCCGACAAGAUCUUCGCCCUCUUCAUGUGCUACGCCGAGGUCGAAUAUUCCCCGGAGGUGUGCCAAUAUUGCCGUACCUCACCUGAGGAGAUAAUGAAGAAAUGCCCGCAGAGCCGGACGGCUAACGUCUACAUGGGGAGCUCCUGCUUCAUCCGGUACUCCGACAAAUCUUUCUUCUCCGUCGCCGACCUCUCCCUCGAAGCGAGGCAACAGCCUGUAUAG